AGUUUUAUAUUCAAAUAUGAUUUUAAAUUGCAAGUUUAAAGGUAAUUAUAAGUUUAAGGCUU
RNAcentral lists this transfer RNA (62 nucleotides) under Elateroidea sp. 2 KM-2017. RNAcentral's name for it is "tRNA-Cys". Lineage: Eukaryota; Metazoa; Arthropoda; Insecta; Coleoptera. The record is from RNAcentral.